UACGUAGGGUGCAAGCGUUAUCCGGAAUUAUUGGGCGUAAAGAGCUCGUAGGCGGUUUGUCGCGUCUGCUGUGAAAACUGGAGGCUCAACCUCCAGCCUGCAGUGGGUACGGGCAGACUAGAGUGCGGUAGGGGAGAUUGGAAUUCCUGGUGUAGCAGUGAAAUGCGUAGAUAUCAGGAGGAACACCGAUGGCGAAGGCAGGCCUCUGGGCUGACACUGACGCUCAUGCACGAAAGCGUGGGGAGCAAACAGG
Molecule: ribosomal RNA, 253 nt
Filed under: uncultured bacterium
Lineage: Bacteria
Description: partial 16S ribosomal RNA
Rfam family: Bacterial small subunit ribosomal RNA
Source: RNAcentral